This 1642-nucleotide unclassified non-coding RNA is filed under the name Leishmania donovani. RNAcentral's name for it is "gene:LdHU3.18.1530(CDS-product:Complex_1_protein_ (LYR_family)/Complex1_LYR-like_putative)". The record is from RNAcentral. Lineage: Eukaryota; Euglenozoa; Kinetoplastea; Trypanosomatida; Trypanosomatidae.
CUCAAACGCGAAAAGAAACUAACAAUCGAAGGGCAUCUCGCUAAGACUCACGUGAGCAUGCGCGAGUGUCUUCAUCUCACGCACGUGGUGCGCCAUAAACGACACGACAAGGGCGGCAACGCCCACAACUUCGCCUUCGACACCCUCACGAAGGUCUACCGCGACGCCGUGUACUUGCCACAGGAGAAGUACCGGAGAGGCCUCAUGCACCCAGAGCGUAGUCGAAGAGCGCCACCGUCGCAAGCAGCGCUUGUCGCGCCGUCGAGCAGUUCGGACGUCACCAACCACGUCGGCAACAUCGGUGUCAUGAGCUCAGUCGCUACCAAGCUAUCCGAUCGGAUGGAGCAGCAGCACCACCAGAAGAAGCUUCAAACCGAUGAAGAUGGAGGGACAGACCACGCAUUUGCCAAAGCAAGCUGCGCUACACCGAUUGCGGGUCGCAGUGUAGUGUCCUCUUCCUCUUCACCCGCCCACUCUGCCGCAGCUGCGACGACCGAAGAGUCGUAUGUGGACGACGAGGCCAUUCGGAGGCGGCUGCGCGCCCAUCUUUUCUCCAACAAAAUGCAGCCAGGGCAGCCUUGCACUGCACCUUCCACGCCAGUGGCGACUGCCUCGGCAUCCCCGCGACGCAGCGGAGUCCAGGCGGAGAUACUGAGCGUGUAUCGCAGCAUGUUGCGAGAGGUUUCGCGCAUGCAGGACGCCGACACGCGGCGCAGCUUGUCGGCGUACAUUCGCCAGGAGUACGACAAGCAGCGUGACAUUCCCCGCAAGAACAUCACGAAGAUCGAGUGGAGGCUGAACUAUGGCAAGCGCAAGCUGGAGGAGUUGCAGGCGAUGAGCAAGCACACAAAGUUCACCAUGAUGCGUUGAACACCGCACUACCUCCGCCCCACCUUACGUACCCAUCUACGAAAAACCAAAGGCCCGCACAUGCACGCACGCACGCAUUCUCCUGUGCACGAACCUGAAGGCCGAGGCCCUCCCCCCACCUCACCCCACCCCACCCAGAAAGAGGCGGAGGGGAGUUAACUUCUGUGGAUUUCCUCUAGGCAUGAGGCGUGGUGUGAGGUGUGUGCCCUGCCAGAUAACGGCUAGCACUUCCGCUCUGCAUGCGUGCUCGUAUCAGGCACCUCUGCCCUUGCAACGUGGGAAGAGCCCGGAGGAGAGGGUGAUACUUUGCAGCGCUGCUUUUCUUCUGUGCUGCUGUGCAGCCGCAGAUGUACCUCCGGCUGCGCCACGCGACGCCUGUGGUUGCCUUGAAGGAGCUGCGUCGCGGGGCAACAACAGCAAAGCGGGGAGGAAAUGCACGCCUGCGCCUCUGCCAGCGAGCGAGAGGGAGAGACAUCGCGACAUGCAGCACUACCCGAAGCAGCAACACCGACGACGCUUUUUGUUUUCUCGGUGUUUUGCCGAGGAGCGAAGGCUAUGACAGGAACACCUCCACCUCCUGCUUGAAAGAGGCAAGCAGACACACACGAAGGGACGAGUCUCGGUGGCGCCUAUGGUGCUCGCUUCGCUUCUUGUUUUCCUUGUUUUCACAGACAGACAGAGACAAAGUGCGACGCUGUCUUGCCGCGGUCCAGGCACGAAAAGUGAGUUGCGUCGCCCGCUUUUCUCCCUCCAUCUCGUUCGCCUCUCCCUG